RNAcentral lists this ribosomal RNA (385 nucleotides) under uncultured bacterium. RNAcentral describes it as "bacterial SSU rRNA". It matches the Rfam family "Bacterial small subunit ribosomal RNA", at positions 790 to 1167 of the family's 1533-position model. The record is from RNAcentral.
GUAGUCCACGCCGUAAACGAUGCACACUAGAUCGGAGAGGCUCUCACGCCCCUCUGGUCGCAGGAAAACCAUUAAGUGUGCCGCCUGGGGAGUACGGUCGCAAGACUAAAACUCAAAGAAAUUGACGGGGGCUCACACAAGCGGUGGAGCAUGUUGCUUAAUUCGAGGCAACGCGAAGAACCUUACCUGGGUUUGACAUGCACGGAUUAACUCGAUGAAAGUUGAGCCACACCCGCAAGGGUGGAACGUGCACAGGUGCUGCAUGGCUGUCGUCAGCUCGUGCUGUGAAGUGUCGGGUUAAGUCCCUUAACGAGCGCAACCCCUGUCGUUAGUUACUAACGGGUAAUGCCGAGGACUCUAGCGAGACUGCCGGUGUCAAACCGGA